This 1248-nucleotide long non-coding RNA is filed under the name Trifolium pratense (red clover). Its description in RNAcentral is "long non-coding RNA (TPRA_LNC014052)". The record is from RNAcentral. Lineage: Eukaryota; Viridiplantae; Streptophyta; Magnoliopsida; Fabales; Fabaceae.
AACAAGCUCCAUGACCAAUCUUCCUUUCCUUUUUGUUUGCUUUGCAUUCAUUUCUUGAGCUUGAAAAUGGUUAUCUGAAUUUAAUUAGAUCAUCAUGCACAAUAUUUUAGUGAAACAUGAAUAUAUGAACAAAACAUCAGGCCAAAGACCAUUUCUCAGUCUAAUUUAUUAUGUUACUUUGUUUGAGACUUAAAUUUUGUGAUUAUUUUUGUUCUUUGUUGUUUGUAUAGGUGAACCUCAUUUCUUCAUACUUGUGUUUCACCAAGGUAAAAGAAAUAUUUUCAAUUAAGUUUAAUUUGGUAUUUAUUUUAGUUUGUUGUUUUCUUCAAAAACAUAAUUACAUGAAUAUGUCAUUCCUAAAAGAAUUUAGGAUCAUACCAAAAAAAUUGUGGUUAUUUACUUUUGUGCAAAUAGACAAUGAAAUUCAUCGGAAUAUACAUAAGCAUACAAAAUUCAUAGAAGUUUCUAAUCAGUUAUAUUAUCUUCUCAUUAGAGACAUUGACAUACACAUCAAUAAAUAAUCUUAAUGAAGUGGAAACUCCAAUUGUAUAGAUGCAAAUAUUGCUUCAACAUUUAUAAUUCACUCAUAUUCUCUAAUAGGCAAGUAAAAAAGAAAAAAAAAAGAAUAAGCUCAAAGGUGUGCCAAGAAAAUUCUUUCAGGAUUGGAGUGAAAGAUGUUUACCUGCCAAGCACCCUGCAAUUCAAAAGAGAUGUUCCCAAACUGUCCAAAGCAUUGGAGCUACCUUGUCACACAACAGAACCACUCAAUACAAUCCUUUAUGAGAGAACAUAGGUCACACGAAUGAUGAACUCCCUUCACAAGGCAGCAUCAAGGACCAGGACAAAUUGAAAGAAAAAAAAAGGUUUUCAUAUCCAAAGUUGACAAAAAUGCAUGUUGCGAAUCAUUAAAAUGAAAUAGGAUUCAUGUUGGGAAUUGGGAUCCAUGUCUGAAAAUAAAAUAGAUACACAUAAAUUUGUAUGAAAUGAGGACUAUACACUCCUCCCCCUUAACUCAGACAAAAACAUAGAAAAUUUAGAUUUCUACUCUUAAUUUUGAUCAAUUUCCAUAGAAAUUAAUAUGCUCAGUAAGAAAUAUUAUAGACAAGAACUAUUAUAGACAGAUAAUAAUUUUGAUCAAUUAGAAUCAUUUGAUGAGAAACUCACAAAUGAAAAAAGUUAAGAGAUAAAUUUUAUCUUUAGAAAUAGUUUAUGCUUUGAAACUAAUUUUGAGAUAAAUUAAGAGAUAAG